UUCUCCACCUGGCAGGGGAGAUACCGUGAUCGAGAAGGUGGUUCACCCUGGGUGAGGCUCAGCCAUUGCACUCCGGCUGUGCUGACCCCUGCGAAUUCCCCAAAAGUGGGAAUCUCAAAUGCAUCAUUUCUGGUAGUGGGGGACUGUGCUCACGCCCUCCCCUG
The sequence is a small nuclear RNA, 164 nucleotides long. Its record names the gene U1. It matches the Rfam family "U1 spliceosomal RNA". From Rfam's summary of the family: U1 is a small nuclear RNA (snRNA) component of the spliceosome (involved in pre-mRNA splicing). Its 5' end forms complementary base pairs with the 5' splice junction, thus defining the 5' donor site of an intron. The record is from Ensembl.